GCAUGUUUUCAAUUUUGCUGUGAGGAAAUGAUAAGAAAAUCUUUUUAUGGGAAAUUGUGAAAUAAAAAGUGAGUUUGUUUUGAUUGUUUACUUUAUGUAUGUUGUUGCACACUGUUUUCCAGAUAGUUUAAAGUUUAUUUGGUGUAAAUUUCUUAAUUAAUUACGGUUUUUUAAUCAAAGUUUCUUUGUACCAUACCUUUCUAGUAUAGAUUUCACAAUAGCGUGCCAGGCAUGUGGGACACAUACUGCUUAUAUACUGUAGAAUUUAAUACUGUCGAGAAUAUCAAUAUGGAACCUGAACUAUUAAAUACCAGAAUAAUUCCAGUAUACCAUUAAGCUACAAUAACAUAUUAAGACAACGUUUUAUAACAGCUUAUAAGCACUUUAUACAUAAUUUUGUGAAAAAAACAUUUUCUUCAGUUGAAAGACAUGCUCAGUAAAGUCUGCAUAAAUUCAGCGCAAGCAUAUUUUAUUAAACUGUCCGGAGACCAGAAUGUGCGGCACAUUUUACAACCUUAAUCAUUACUUGAAUAGAAACAUGUUCACAAGUACAACAAAUUUACUUAUACCUAGUUCAUCUUCGGAAUCGUCAGAACCUUUUUCAGAGCCUCGAUCAUCAAAGCUGACAAAACCACCAUCUGAGUGUGCUCGAGUCGAUGCACCGCCAAGUGUUCGGCGAAUUAACUCUAUUUCUUUAACUAAACUCUCUCUGUCUACAUCAUCCACAUCUGAAUCUUGUUUGUCCUCCAUGGCAAUAAAUAACACCAAUAAAAAUGGAAAUAUUGCGCUGAAAUAAAGCACUUUAUUCAGUUUAUAUACAAACGUUCAACUUCAAAUCUCCCACAUGCAACAAGAGCUGACGAUCGUCGUUGAUCGAACGUAUAGAAAGAUAUUAGAUUUUAGG
This is a non-coding RNA of Paramuricea clavata, 904 nucleotides long. NCBI's taxonomy places the organism in Eukaryota, Metazoa, Cnidaria, Anthozoa, Malacalcyonacea, Plexauridae. The record is from the annotation of a GenBank genome assembly.